This 467-nucleotide ribosomal RNA is filed under the name uncultured bacterium. RNAcentral describes it as "partial 16S ribosomal RNA". It matches the Rfam family "Bacterial small subunit ribosomal RNA", at positions 28 to 506 of the family's 1533-position model. The record is from RNAcentral.
GACGAACGCUAGCGGCGUGCUUAACACAUGCAAGUCGAACGGAAAGGCCCUGCUUUUGUGGGGUGCUCGAGUGGCGAACGGGUGAGUAACACGUGAGUAACCUGCCCUUGACUUUGGGAUAACUUCAGGAAACUGGGGCUAAUACCGGAUAGGAGCUCCUGCUGCAUGGUGGGGGUUGGAAAGUUUCGGCGGUUGGGGAUGGACUCGCGGCUUAUCAGCUUGUUGGUGGGGUAGUGGCUUACCAAGGCUUUGACGGGUAGCCGGCCUGAGAGGGUGACCGGCCACAUGGGGACGGAGAAACGGCCCAGACGCCUACGGGAGGCAGCAGUGGGGAAUAUUGCACAAGGGGCGGAAGCCUGAUGCAGCAACGCCGGGUGCGGGAUGACGGCCUUCGGGUGGUAAACCGCUUUCGCCUGUGACGAAGCGUGAGUGACGGUAAUGGGUAAAGAAGCACCGGCUAACUACGU